UUACGGCCAUAUUACAUUGAAACAACGGCUCCCUUACGAUCACCGAAGUUAAGCAACGUCGAUCCUGGUCAGUACCUAGAUGGGUAUCGACUUGGGAAUAAUAGCUGCCGUAA
Acanthosepion pharaonis is the source of this 113-nucleotide non-coding RNA. Lineage: Eukaryota; Metazoa; Mollusca; Cephalopoda; Sepiida; Sepiidae. The record is from the annotation of a GenBank genome assembly.